GACCGACCCUUCGGGGAGCUUGCACAGGUGCUGCAUGGCUGUCGUCAGCUCGUGUCGUGAGAUGUUCGGUUAAGUCCGCUAACGAGCGCAACCCUCGCUGUGUGUUAUAUGUGUCACACGGGACUGCCGGUCUUAAGCCGGAGGAAGGUGGGAUGAUGGUCAAGUCAGCAUGGCCUUUAUAUCCCUGGGCUACACACACGCUACAAUGGCCAACACAAUAGGUUGCUAAGCCGCGAGGUGGCGCCAAUCCAUAAAGUUGGUCUCAGUUCAGAUUGUAGGCUGCAACCCGCCUGCAUGAAGAUGGAGUUGCUAGUAACCGCAGGUCAGCUAUACUGCGGUGAAUACGUUCCCGGGGCUU
This 358-nucleotide ribosomal RNA is filed under the name uncultured Leptolinea sp. RNAcentral's name for it is "bacterial SSU rRNA". It matches the Rfam family "Bacterial small subunit ribosomal RNA", at positions 1010 to 1382 of the family's 1533-position model. Lineage: Bacteria; Bacillati; Chloroflexota; Anaerolineae; Anaerolineales; Anaerolineaceae. The record is from RNAcentral.